Thamnophis elegans (Western terrestrial garter snake) is the source of this 308-nucleotide long non-coding RNA. RefSeq lists it as uncharacterized. The record is from RefSeq and is a predicted model, not a curated record. Lineage: Eukaryota; Metazoa; Chordata; Lepidosauria; Squamata; Natricidae. The transcript is spliced from 3 exons.
UUAUAAUAGUCUUUUCUUCUUCUUUUCCAUGUGACCCGCUUGAAGGCUGCUGGAUGGAAAACAAAAACAAAUCAUUUGCUGGGAAUGUGUUAACUGAUAUACUGGGGACUUGUAGUAACCUGAAUUGGAGAGGUUGUUAAACUGGAAGGAUUUCUUCUGAGCGCUCCUGUCUUUGGGCAAAUAUUUAUUCAUAAAUUGUUUCAGAAGGUUGAGAAGUGUUCCUUUGUGUUGACUGGUGAAGUAAAUCGGGAUUUGAAGAGAGAAAAAAAAUUGUUUGAGUGAACCUGAAGUGAAUCCGAUUUACCUCA